UUGGAAUGGGGGAGCCGGGGUCGGGCGUGGAGCUUGGAGGCCUCACCCUGUCUGCGCCCUCAG
Molecule: microRNA precursor, 63 nt
Filed under: Mus pahari (shrew mouse)
Lineage: Eukaryota; Metazoa; Chordata; Mammalia; Rodentia; Muridae
Description: microRNA 7023 (MGP_PahariEiJ_G0007584.1)
Source: RNAcentral